This 428-nucleotide ribosomal RNA is filed under the name uncultured bacterium. RNAcentral's name for it is "bacterial SSU rRNA". It matches the Rfam family "Bacterial small subunit ribosomal RNA", at positions 917 to 1344 of the family's 1533-position model. The record is from RNAcentral.
GGACCCGCACAAGUAGUGGAGCAUGUGGUUUAAUUCGAUGCAACGCGAAGAACCUUACCUACUCUUGACAUCCAGAGAAGCCAGCGGAGACGCAGGUGUGCCUUCGGGAACUCUGAGACAGGUGCUGCAUGGCUGUCGUCAGCUCGUGUUGUGAAAUGUUGGGUUAAGUCCCGCAACGAGCGCAACCCUUAUCCUUGUUUGCCAGCACGUAAUGGUGGGAACUCCAGGGAGACUGCCGGUGAUAAACCGGAGGAAGGUGGGGACGACGUCAAGUCAUCAUGGCCCUUACGAGUAGGGCUACACACGUGCUACAAUGGCGCAUACAGAGGGCAGCAAGCUAGCGAUAGUGAGCGAAUCCCAAAAAGUGCGUCGUAGUCCGGAUCGGAGUCUGCAACUCGACUCCGUGAAGUCGGAAUCGCUAGUAAUCG